This 624-nucleotide ribosomal RNA is filed under the name Saccharomyces cerevisiae (brewer's yeast). RNAcentral's name for it is "partial large subunit ribosomal RNA". It matches the Rfam family "Eukaryotic large subunit ribosomal RNA", at positions 34 to 670 of the family's 3401-position model. Lineage: Eukaryota; Fungi; Ascomycota; Saccharomycetes; Saccharomycetales; Saccharomycetaceae. The record is from RNAcentral.
CUUUGCAUAUCAAAUAAGCGGAGGAAAAGAAACCAACCGGGAUUGCCUUAGUAACGGCGAGUGAAGCGGCAAAAGCUCAAAUUUGAAAUCUGGUACCUUCGGUGCCCGAGUUGUAAUUUGGAGAGGGCAACUUUGGGGCCGUUCCUUGUCUAUGUUCCUUGGAACAGGACGUCAUAGAGGGUGAGAAUCCCGUGUGGCGAGGAGUGCGGUUCUUUGUAAAGUGCCUUCGAAGAGUCGAGUUGUUUGGGAAUGCAGCUCUAAGUGGGUGGUAAAUUCCAUCUAAAGCUAAAUAUUGGCGAGAGACCGAUAGCGAACAAGUACAGUGAUGGAAAGAUGAAAAGAACUUUGAAAAGAGAGUGAAAAAGUACGUGAAAUUGUUGAAAGGGAAGGGCAUUUGAUCAGACAUGGUGUUUUGUGCCCUCUGCUCCUUGUGGGUAGGGGAAUCUCGCAUUUCACUGGGCCAGCAUCAGUUUUGGUGGCAGGAUAAAUCCAUAGGAAUGUAGCUUGCCUCGGUAAGUAUUAUAGCCUGUGGGAAUACUGCCAGCUGGGACUGAGGACUGCGACGUAAGUCAAGGAUGCUGGCAUAAUGGUUAUAUGCCGCCCGUCUUGAACCACCGGACCAAA